This 452-nucleotide ribosomal RNA is filed under the name uncultured Bacteroidales bacterium. Its description in RNAcentral is "bacterial SSU rRNA". It matches the Rfam family "Bacterial small subunit ribosomal RNA", at positions 917 to 1370 of the family's 1533-position model. Lineage: Bacteria; Pseudomonadati; Bacteroidota; Bacteroidia; Bacteroidales. The record is from RNAcentral.
GGGCCCGCACAAGCGGAGGAACAUGUGGUUUAAUUCGAUGAUACGCGAGGAACCUUACCCGGGCUUGAAAUGUGUCUGUCCGACCAGGAAACUGGUCUUCUAGCAAUAGCAGAUAUGUAGGUGCUGCAUGGUUGUCGUCAGCUCGUGCCGUGAGGUGUCGGCUUAAGUGCCAUAACGAGCGCAACCCUUAUCUUUAGUUACUAACAGUUUAUGCUGAGGACUCUGAAGAGACUGCCGUCGUAAGAUGUGAGGAAGGUGGGGAUGACGUCAAAUCAGCACGGCCCUUACGUCCGGGGCUACACACGUGUUACAAUGGGGGGUACAGCGAGUUGCUUACUGGUGACAGUUGGCUAAUCUUGAAACCUCUCUCAGUUCGGAUCGAAGUCUGCAACCCGACUUCGUGAAGCUGGAUUCGCUAGUAAUCGCGCAUCAGCCACGGCGCGGUGAAUACG